RNAcentral lists this ribosomal RNA (320 nucleotides) under uncultured bacterium. Its description in RNAcentral is "bacterial SSU rRNA". It matches the Rfam family "Bacterial small subunit ribosomal RNA", at positions 28 to 346 of the family's 1533-position model. The record is from RNAcentral.
GAUGAACGCUAGCGGCAGGCCUAAUACAUGCAAGUCGAGGGGCAGCGCGGUAGCAAUACUGGCGGCGACCGGCGCACGGGUGCGUAACACGUAUGCAACCUACCUUCAACUGGAGGAUAGCCCGGGGAAACUCGGAUUAAUACUCCAUAACACAGGGAUCCCGCAUGGGAAUAUUGUUAAAGCUACGGCGGUUGAAGAUGGGCAUGCGUUCGAUUAGCUAGUUGGUGUAGGUAACGGCUCACCAAGGCUACGAUCGAUAGGGGGUCUGAGAGGAUGAUCCCCCACACUGGUACUGAGAUACGGACCAGACUCCUACGGGA